This 5934-nucleotide unclassified non-coding RNA is filed under the name Mizuhopecten yessoensis (Yesso scallop). RNAcentral describes it as "baculoviral IAP repeat-containing protein 3-like, transcript variant X4". Lineage: Eukaryota; Metazoa; Mollusca; Bivalvia; Pectinida; Pectinidae. The record is from RNAcentral.
GAGGAUAUAUAAAGGCGAGGUCACGAGAGGUGAGGUAAUACAUGUUCAUAUGUAUAUACAUGACUAUUUGUUGAAGGAGUGUGUGUGUGAAUGUCAGUUUGUGUGUGUGUGUGCGUGUGUGUGUGUGUGUUCGCUAAGGUUGAGAUAUGAACAUUUAUAAUUCCUAAUGAUAAUUAAGACAAAUGUUUCCUCGGGUCUAGACCACUUCUAAAGCUUAAUACACGGAAAUGUAAAUACAAUAUACGUUAGUUGCCAUAACUUGUAGAGCAGAUCAUAAUUACAAGUUGAUAUGUACUUGAGUUCUUGCAGUUUUUUUUGUCAAUUGUAUAAUCUAUGACGUCAGAUGAUCUCUAUUUGUGUAAUAUAAAUAAUGAAGUAAACACAUGUAUUCCCUUGUAGCUGAUCUACAAUUGGCAUUUAGUAACCUUAAUUCUUUCAUCGGAAAGCAAAGGCAGGCAAUGAUGCAUGACUUGUGAAAUAUGGACAUUAAAAAAUGGAAAAAACCGUUAACAUAUAAAUAGCGAUUUUGGAAAAACCCGUGUACAUAUAAAUAGCGAGUCUGCGAAUAACAACUUGAAUGCCACUUGCGACCCGUAAUAGAGGUCUUAUUCAGGUAGUCAUGAUCCUUAUGAUGCUUACAUCAUAUGUGUUUAACAGUCUCGAAAACAUCGACACGAAUAUAGGACAAGCUUAAAAAAUAAGUCGCCAGCUCCUUGAAAGCCCCAUGUAUGCUGCUGAAAGAUGAAUCGUGAUACACAUCAUCCACCCGGCAUAUCGGCUUUUAAAUCAAUGAACUUCUACCAAUUCAAGCAUCAACUAAUAAGCAGCAAAAAGCCUCAGGUCAAAGGUGGAUCUCAAAAUGCACGGCAAGAUCAAGGGUCUACCAAAUUCAGAGCGCAGAUGAUAAAAAUUGGGGAUACAAAGUUGGACCAUGCACACGGUACCAGGGAACACGCAUUAAAUCAGACAAAGAGUUCGUUAAGCUUCACUUUAAAUAAAUCCGCGAAAAAUGUAUCAGUGGUGUUGACAAACGAUUCGAUAGAACAGAACGAUUCCGGUGAUGAGAAUAGGUCACUACUUCCACAUUGUAAAAACACAUACCCAACAGUGUUAUUGCGACAACACGAAGGUGGUAAUGACGUCUAUGUCGGACAAAUUGAUAUACAAGAUAUCCAUCUCGAUGGUGAUGUCACAGAAACAGACGAAAAUGAUGACAAAGGUGGCAUUAGUAAGGGGGAGUAUAAUAAAUACGAGUUGGAUAUUGAAACAACUUUACACAUAGAUAAAAAUCAGCCUUCGGCUUCCAUUGGUAGAUCUUGUCAUCCUAUUCGGACUGACCGUUAUUCGCAUGAAAGGGUUAAAUGUACAAGAAGACAAAAACCUGCAGGCAUCACCAAUAAAGAAGUACUACAGGAGUUUUUUCAGGCCACUGUCGACAACUUCGAGGAGAAAGGAUGCUUCAAGCAGCCACCCGAAUUGAUUCGUCAACAUGUACUCUAUCCCCAGAAAAAGGAAUAUAGCAUGCCACCACUGACGCCAGUCCCUAUAUAUCCGAAUGAUAAAAAUGAGCAAAUUAAUAUAAACCCUUUCUUUCCUUUGUUGAAUACAUACAGACAAUGGCCAAAUGAUUUACCGGUAUCACCAUCAGCGCUUGCAAGGGCAGGUUUCCAUAGCGUCACAACAAAUGACCAGAGGGUGGGCUGUCGGUCUUGUGGUAUAGAACUACAUAUAGACGAUUUCAACGGAAAUGACCCUUAUACAGUCCACAGACAGAGGUCAUCUACAUGUCCUGCAUUGGAUCGGGAGGGAUGUAAUUCAACGGUAAUUCAACAAGCAACAACACCGUCUUUGAACGUGAACAACACCGAAAUAGAUGAUGUUGCCCUGCAGCGAUUGCAACUUACUACUGAUAGCCUCUCCAAUGCGAACGGGACUCACCAGAUAGAAACGAUCAAUGAAAGACAUACGCAUCCUAAUGAAAGAAGCAACAUACAUACCGACAGCAUACAAGGGGCAUCAGCAUCAGCAUCGCCAGGAUCUUCAGCAUCAGCAGCACCGCAUCAGGUAAUAACGUACUCUCCACGUAACUCGAGUCAGGUGUCAUCGGAGUCUAGGAGACAGUCUUUCAGAAACUGGCCUGGUUCGGACCAGGACAUCGAUGCUUUAGUUCAAGCUGGAUUUUUCUUUACAGGCGAGGAGGAUAUAGUCCGUUGUUUCCACUGCGACAUAGGGCUGGCUGAAUGGGACCCAUCGGAUGACCCCUGGGUCGAACAUGCGCGUCACAGCCCAGAUUGUCCGUUUUUGAGAAGUCAACGAGAUGACCAUUUUAUCUCUAAUAUCCAAAGGCGUUGGUCACAGAUUUACACUCCAAAGCAUCCCCACAUGAGCCAAACGAGCACGAGACUCGAAUCCUAUGACUCCUCAUGGCCCCGGGACUACGUAAUCCAGCAACCAGAACAUUUGGCUGAGGCUGGUUUUUUCUACACAGGUGAGACGGACACUGUCCGAUGUCACUACUGUGACGGAGGUCUCCGGGAGUGGGAACCAAACGAUGACCCAUGGACAGAACACGCAAGGUGGUUUCCCUUCUGUAAAUUUGUCAUCAAGGUCAAAGGUUUGUCCUUCAUACAGGCCGCAGCUCUUGAAGAGGAUAAUGACAGGGAACUUGACAAUUCUACUGGAGUGGCAACACCAUAUACACGUGCUGAGCCUAGCUUUGAGGAACGAUGUCGCAAAAGGGAGCAGGAAAAUCCAAUGCUGUCAGCGGCAGUAGAAAGCGUAAAGGAAUUUGGUUACAAGAAAAAAAUGAUCAAGAAUGCAAUUCUUGUCCACAUUGAAACAUCAGGAAAGCGGGAAUUCAGUGAAAGUGAUUUGAUGGAGAUUAUAUUUAAGUUGGAAGAGAAGGAAUCGUCGCUGGAGGCAGAUGGAAUAGAUUCGGAAUCUUGUUCAAGUUCAGAUGAAAUCAGUCUAACCCCUAAAGCUUUGGCUAUGGAGAAUGAAUACUUGAAGACACAACAGCGAUGCGAGUUGUGCCGGAUAAGGGACAGGUGUAUGCUCUUCGUACCAUGUGGUCACAGAAUCACAUGUGAGCCAUGUGGAAAAAGCCAGACAUCAUGUUCAGUUUGUUCCCAGGAGGUUACGUCAUGCGUGAAGACAUUUUUGGGAUAAAAUACAUAUUCCACUGCAUAUAACAGAUGUAUUCGCUAGUUUGUGUAAACAUUGACAAUCCAAACACAAAUUUAAACCAGAUCAGUAUAAAGGUCUUCUCUCGGACAGAACUAUGUACCAUACUUAUUGCAAUCCUACACUUCUUAAAGGUCAGGAUUAAAAUUAAAGACUAACAUAUUUGUCAGGCUGUAGAUAGAGGAUGUCAUGUUGAAUCAAAGGAAAACUAUAAAACAAACGUGCUAUUUUGCUAUUUUGUCGAAUGAUGGACGUGGGAAAUAUCUCCAAACCUAGUAAAUACUUAAUUAAUACGCUUCGUCAAAGUUACAAGAGUUCUUUAUCUUGGCCAAACUUUCCGUCAUAUUUCAGUAAGUAGUUUAAUUAACGUCAGACAGUAAAUGUGGUUUUUAAUGAUACACAUUAUUCGUCCACUUAUAAAAAAUAUCUGUGACUUCAACACCUAUCUUUCGGUUCGUUACCCAAACUGAUGGUGCAUCAACCAUGAUCAGUAUCAGUAUUUGCUAUUCAAACACAUAAAUAUAAAAUGCUAGUUACUCAAAGUAGCACACAAGAUAGUUACUAAAAUCAUCAUUGUGUCAGCGACAGUGGACUAAAUCAUGUAUCUGGAAACCAGAAGAGCAUCAUUUAAAAAACACACUUCAAAGAGAAACGAGGAAAAAACAAGAAUCAAUAGCAUCCGACCUUGAAAAUGAAGAGCUGUAACUCGUAGGUAUUCGACAUGGUCAACAAAAUAUUAAGCCUGAUGAAUUAUAACAUCAACCAAUUAAAUGCUAAUGUUAUUUAUUAUAUCCAAAUACAUGAUUUUGUUAUACUCAGUGACUGCAAGGUCAUAAUAGAAGAUGUGUAGUCUCAAUUAAAUAAUUUUGAAAUAUCAAUUCAUAAAUGUUUUGGCUAUUCUAAUAUACAAAACGACGUUGUUGACCCGAACAAUGUGCUAUGUGCGCUAUGACCCGAGAGAUGUAUUUGAGGAGAUACGUUAUUAUUUGAACGAAUGUGACUGAUUUUUCACCUACCAUGUUGACAGGUUGUAGUUGAUACAUUACCCUUCGGUUUGCUACGAUUAUCAGGAUUUCCGUGAUGGAAUUCGAAUGUUGAUGAACAAACUAAUUAUGCAGGGCAAGGAGGUCGAUGAAGACAAUGGACGAGUGUUAUGAUCGCUACAAUUAAUUGUAUCAUGUUUUUAUUUGGAAAGGUUUAUUUCCUUGUGCAUUAAACAUACAGAAACUUUGAUUAUGUUCAUUGGCGUAGCUUUUGGUUUCGUGUUUACUCUCCCGGACUUUUUUCGAGGUCAUGACAUAUUUUGAAUGUGAGAUUUACAUGGCCGUUUCGCCAAUAAAGCAUUAGAUGCUUACCCUUUCGGACAUAUGAGGUCGUUUUUUCCUCGUUAGUUUUCAAUGGUGUCUUAUUUGUAUUUUGGUAUUCUCAUAAUUUCAUUACAACAGAGGAAUGAUUCAUAUCAAGCCGAAUAUUUUAGUUUGAUUCUAAACCAAUCAAAUUUCCAUGUAUUUUUGGAACCCGGGAGAGUAUAUGACACAUUACUAGAAAAUUAAUUAAGUGCCAUUCCCAUGAGUUUCAUUCAGUGAAGAUUUAUUGAGAUAAAAUGUUAUCGUGAACACUAAAUUUAGUUUUUACUAAAUAUGGAGUAGCUUUGUAAAUACAAAUUGUAAAGUUUCGAUAUCCGAAAUCAUAUUUAUUGAUAAUACAUGGUAUUGGUUUGUUCAGCGUAUUUUAGUAUUGACAUUAUUGUAAAUAUUGAUUUAUCACAUAAUGAAAUUGUUAUCCAGUGAAUAUACCCAUGUCAAGUUUUUUUUGCGUAUUGACCCAUGUAAUAUGUUAUCAGCACUGUGAUUGGUUGUAAGUUUCAAUUGUUUCAAUUGUGACGUCACGCCUAGGACGAGAUGACCUCAUAGACUUACACACUGGAAUUAAAAUGGUGGCUUUUUACAUUUCAAGGUUGCAUGAAAAUUGUCGUUUAACGCGAAUAAAUGCCACAAAUCUCGAUUAUGUGAUAAAAAGGAUAUUACACUCGUUUUCGUCUUAUAUGAAAUAUGAGCCAUAGGCUCGCUAAACAGAAACAUUCUUUGACUCGUUUCAUAAAUCUCAUAUGAAAUGGAAACGCAUGUAUUGUUCAUUUGUACAUGUAGAUAAAUGUAUAUAUUUCAACAGAAUAAGACAACAUGAUAUUUUUAUCAGUCAAUUAAACUCAAAAGAGAUGAUAUGGUAUUCGUAACGUAUCAUACCUAAAAAGAGAUAUAUUUAUAUGCAUCCAUGUACAAAUCUUGUUAAUCGUCGCUCAUAUAGAUACAUACAAAAAGACGUUGUUGGCGUUGUCCACUCUGACCUUUACCACUCAUGUUAAAGAGUUGCCAUUAUGGAAUAGUUUCGUACCCCUGUCACCUCAAAACACGAUCUGUAAAUGAAAACUUAUAUUCUUAUUAAUCAAUAGGAAUCUGUGCGAAAUCAAAGUUAUAUGUAUAUUGAAUUUUUAAAAUAGAUCACUUGAGUACAUUGGUUUCUUUUAUGAAUUGAUUACCUUUUUUUCAUAAAUAACUGAUACCAGCAAAUGAAAGACAAACCAUAUCUUGCAAUGCUGGUGAUGAAAAUAUAAAAAAAUACAUGUAUACAGUAAAUAUUAGAUGUACGCUUUCCUGCUCAGUGCAUUUAUAAAUAAUGUUUACUAUAAAUUUCAUGCAUAGAUGGUAUUUGCUAUGACUUGCAUGUAAUGAAUAAACAUAAGAAUACAAUGUU